GGGGUGCAGCAGGCGCGAAACCUCUGCAAUAGGCGAAAGCUUGACAGGGUUACUCUGAGUGAUUUCCGUUAAGGAAAUCUUUUGGCACCUCUAAAAAUGGUGCAGAAUAAGGGGUGGGCAAGUCUGGUGUCAGCCGCCGCGGUAAUACCAGCACCCCGAGUGGUCGGGACGUUUAUUGGGCCUAAAGCAUCCGUAGCCGGUUCUACAAGUCUUCCGUUAAAUCCAACUGCUUAACAGGUGGGCUGCGGAAGAUACUAUAGAGCUAGGAGGCGGGAGAGGCAAGCGGUACUCGAUGGGUAGGGGUAAAAUCCGUUGAUCCAUUGAAGACCACCAGUGGCGAAGGCGGCUUGCCAGAACGCGCUCGACGGUGAGGGAUGAAAGCUGGGGGAGCAAACCGGAUUAGAUACCCGGGUAGUCCCAGCUGUAAACGAUGCAGACUCGGUGAUGAAUUGGCUUUAUGCCUAUUCAGUGCCGCAGGGAAGCCGUUAAGUUUGCCGCCUGGGGAGUACGGUCGCAAGACUGAAACUUAAAGGAAUUGGCGGGG
Molecule: ribosomal RNA, 544 nt
Filed under: uncultured crenarchaeote
Lineage: Archaea; Thermoproteati; Thermoproteota
Description: bacterial SSU rRNA
Rfam family: Archaeal small subunit ribosomal RNA
Source: RNAcentral